Long non-coding RNA from Mytilus californianus (California mussel), 2578 nucleotides. RefSeq lists it as uncharacterized. Lineage: Eukaryota; Metazoa; Mollusca; Bivalvia; Mytilida; Mytilidae. The transcript is spliced from 4 exons. The record is from RefSeq and is a predicted model, not a curated record.
UUUUCUUAUGGCAUUGGAUAAAAUAUUAUAUAAGGAAAGUUCCCAAUGGAACUUUUGUUAUAUGCUAAAAGCUCUUUGGAACAAAUAUUAUGGGGGAACUUAUAUUCUGUCACAGUUUGUGUUACGGUAUAUGGUCUAGAGAGACAAGGAAGAGGUUUGUGUUACGAUUUAUGGUCUAGAUAGACACGGGGGACGUUUGUGUCACAGUAUAUGGUCUGGAUAGACAAGGGGGAGGUUUGUGUUGCGGUAUAUGAACUGGAUAGACAACGGUGAGGUUUGUGUUACGGUAUAUGGUCUGGAUAGACAAGGGUAACGUUUGUAUUACGUUUUACGGUAUAUGGUCUAGAUAGACAAAGGGGACAUUCUUGUUACGGUAUAUGGUCUAGAUAGACAAGGAGGAUAUUCGUGUUACGGUAUAUGGUCUGGAUAGACAAGGGGGAGGUUUGUGUUACGGUAUAUGGUCUGGGUAGACAAGGGUGAUGUUUGUAUUACUUUUUACGGUAUAUGGUCUAGAUAGACAAAGGGGACAUUCUUGUUACGGUAUAUGGUCUAGAUAGACAAGGGGGAUAUUUGUGUUACGGUAUAUGGUCUGGAUAGACAAGGGGGAGGUUUGUGUUACGGUAUAUGGUCUGGAUAGACAAAGGGGAGGUUUGUGUUACGGUAUAUGGUCUGGAUAGACAAGGGGGACGGUUGUGUUACGGUAUAUGGUCUGGAUAGACAAAGGGGAGGUUUGUGUUACGGUAUAUGGUCUGGAUAGACAAGGGGGACGUUUGUGUCACGGUAUAUGGUCUAGAUAGACAAGGAGGAGGUUUAUGUUACGGUAUAUGGUCUAGCUAGACAAGGGGGAGGUUUGAGUUACGGUAUAUGGUGUAGAUAGACAAGGAGGUUUAUGUUACGGUAUAUGGUGUAGAUAGACAAGGAGGAUGUUUGUGUAAUGGUAUAUGGUGUAGAUAGACAAAGAGGUUUGAGUUAUGUUAUAUGGUGUAGAUAGACAUAUAGGAGGUUUGUGUUACGGUAUAUGGUCUGGAUAGACAAGCGGGAGGUUUGUGUUACGGUAUAUGGUCUGGAUAGACAAGGGGGACGUUUGUGUUACGGUAUAUGAUCUAGCUAGACAAGGGGGAGGUUUGUGUUAUGGUUUAUGAUGUAGAUGGACAAGGAAGUUUGUGUUACGGUAUAUGGUGUAGAUAGACAAGGAGGAUGUUUGUGUAAUGGUAUAUGGUGUAGAAAGACAAGGCGGAGGUUUGUGUUACGGUAUAUGGUGUAGAUAGACAAGGAGGUUUGUGUUACGAUAUAUGGUGUAGAUAGACAAGGAGGAGGUUUGUGUUUCGGUAUAUAGACUAUAGUCUAGAUAAAACAAAGAGGAGGUUUGUGUUACGGUAUACGGUCUGAUAGACAAGGGGGAGGUUUGAGUAACGGUAUAUGGUGUAGAUAGACAAGGAAGUUUGUGUUACGGUAUAUGGUGUAGAUAGACAAGGAAGUUUGUGUUACGGUAUAUGUUGUAGAUAGACAAAUAGGAUGUUUAUGUAAUGGUAUAUGGUGUAGAUAGACAAGGCGGAGGUUUGUGUUACGGUAUAAAGUGUAGAUAGACAAGGAGGUUUGAGUUACGGUAUAUGGUGUAGAUAGACAAGGAGGUUUGAGUUACGGUAUAUGGUGUAGAUAGACAAGGAGGAUGUUUGUGUUUCGGUAUAUGGUGUAGAUAGACAAGGCGGAGGUUUGUGUUACGGUAUAAGGUGUAGAUAGACAAGGAAGUUUGUGUUACGAUAUAUGGUGUACAUAGACAAGGAGGAUGUUUUUGUAAUGGUAUAUGGUGUGGAUAGACAAGGAAGAGGUUUUAGGUACGGUUUAUGGUCUAGAUAGACAAGGGGGACGUUUGUGUUACGAUAUGUGGUCUAGAUAGACAAGGAGGAGGUUUGUGUUACGGUAUAUGGUCUAGAUAGACAAUGAGGAGGUUUGUGUAACGAUAUAUGGUAUGGAUAGACAAGGGGGAGGUUUGUGUUACGGUAUAUGGUCUGGAUAGACAAGAGGGACGUUUGUGUUACUGUAUAUUGUCUAGAUAGGCAAGAGGAGGUUUGUGUUACGGUAUAUGGUCUGGAUAGACAAGGGGGACGUUUGUGUUACGGUAUAUGGUCUAGAUAGACAAGGGGAGGUUUGUGUUACGGUAUAUGGUCUGGAUAGACAAGGGGGACGUUUGUGUUGCAUUAUAUAUUGUCUAGAUAGACAAGGUGACGUUUGUGUUACGGUAUAUGGUGUAGAUAGACAAGGGGAGGUUUGUGUUACGGUAUAUGGUCUGGAUAGACAAGGGGGACGUUUGUGUUACGGUAUAUGGUGUAGAUAGACAAGGAGGAGGUUUGUGUUACGGUAUAUGGUGUCGAAAGACAAGGAGGAGGUUUAUGUUACGGGAUAUGGUCUAGCAAGACAAGGGGGAGGUUUUUGUUACGGUAUAUGGCUCGAUAGACAAGGGGGACGUUUGUGUUACGGUAUAUGGUCUGGAUAGACAAGGGGAACGUUUGCGUUACGGUAUAUGGUCUAGAUAGACAUGGGGGAGGUUUGUGUUACGGUAUAUGGUCUAGAUAGACAU